Long non-coding RNA from Beta vulgaris subsp. vulgaris (sugar beet), 545 nucleotides. RefSeq lists it as uncharacterized. The transcript is spliced from 2 exons. Lineage: Eukaryota; Viridiplantae; Streptophyta; Magnoliopsida; Caryophyllales; Amaranthaceae. The record is from RefSeq and is a predicted model, not a curated record.
AAAAAUAUCCUUAAGAGAUGGACAAGACUUGCAAAGUCAGCAGUAUGGGAGAAUGUUCAAGACAAGGAUCAAAGCCAAAAUGCACAGUUGUGGACACCAUGGAGACAUGCAAUAACCAAGAAUUUCUACAACCUAGUGUCAAUAUGUCAAUCAAAUGAGGAUGCAAGAACAUUAUGUGACAAGUCGUUGAAGGAAUUAUACAAAUCAGUGAAAGAAGUUUUCAAGACUGAUCAACAAAAACAACAAGAAAUCGAAGAUGAAGAACUACGAAGACAAACAGUUGAAAAUCCUGAGGUGAUAAAGACAAAAGGAAGACCACCAAAGGGAAACAAGAGAGUAAAAGGACAUUUUGAGAAGCGUAAAAUGAAGACAAGGCAUCCGAACGAAUAUGGAACAAAAACCCCAAAUGUACCUCAAGUUGAAUAGUGUUCAAAUAAUAUUAGUUUUCAAUUGUAUUCCACUCAGUAAUUGAAUUGAAAUUUACACUUGUUUAUUCCUAAGCUACUCGAAAUUCAUUAAUAUUAGUAUUUAUUGUCCUUCAGUUA